GACGAACGCUGGCGGCGUGCUUAACACAUGCAAGUCGAACGGAAAGGCCCUGCUUUUGUGGGGUGCUCGAGUGGCGAACGGGUGAGUAACACGUGAGUAACCUGCCCUUGACUUUGGGAUAACUUCAGGAAACUGGGGCUAAUACCGGAUAGGAGCUCCUGCUGCAUGGUGGGGGUUGGAAAGUUUCGGCGGUUGGGGAUGGACUCGCGGCUUAUCAGCUUGUUGGUGGGGUAGUGGCUUACCAAGGCUUUGACGGGUAGCCGGCCUGAGAGGGUGACCGGCCACAUUGGGACUGAGAUACGGCCCAGACUCCUACGGGAGGCAGCAGUGGGGAAUAUUGCACAAUGGGCGGAAGCCUGAUGCAGCAACGCCGCGUGCGGGAUGACGGCCUUCGGGUUGUAAACCGCUUUCGCCUGUGACGAAGCGUGAGUGACGGUAAUGGGUAAAGAAGCACCGGCUAACUACGUGCCAGCAGCCGCGGUGAUACGUAGGGUGCGAGCGUUGUCCGGAUUUAUUGGGCGUAAAGGGCUCGUAGGUGGUUGAUCGCGUCGGAAGUGUAAUCUUGGGGCUUAACCCUGAGCGUGCUUUCGAUACGGGUUGACUUGAGGAAGGUAGGGGAGAAUGGAAUUCCUGGUGGAGCGGUGGAAUGCGCAGAUAUCAGGAGGAACACCAGUGGCGAAGGCGGUUCUCUGGGCCUUUCCUGACGCUGAGGAGCGAAAGCGUGGGGAGCGAACAGGCUUAGAUACCCUGGUAGUCCACGCUGUAAACGGUGGGUACUAGGUGUGGGGUCCAUUCCACGGGUUCCGUGCCGUAGCUAACGCUUUAAGUACCCCGCCUGGGGAGUACGGCCGCAAGGCUAAAACUCAAAGGAAUUGACGGGGCCCCGCACAAGCGGCGGAGCAUGCGGAUUAAUUCGAUGCAACGCGUAGAACCUUACCUGGGUUUGACAUGGAUCGGGAGCGCUCAGAGAUGGGUGUGCCUCUUUUGGGGUCGGUUCACAGGUGGUGCAUGGCUGUCGUCAGCACGUGUCGUGAGAUGUUGGGUUAAGUCCCGCAACGAGCGCAACCCUUGUUCACUGUUGCCAGCACGUUAUGGUGGGGACUCAGUGGAGACCGCCGGGGUCAACUCGGAGGAAGGUGGGGAUGACGUCAAGCCAUCAUGCCCCUUAUGUCCAGGGCUUCACGCAUGCUACAAUGGCUGGUACAGAGAGUGGCGAGCCUGUGAGGGUGAGCGAAUCUCGGAAAGCCGGUCUCAGUUCGGAUUGGGGUCUGCAACUCGACCUCAUGAAGUCGGAGUCGCUAGUAAUCGCAGAUCAGCAACGCUGCGGUGAAUACGUUCCCGGGGCU
This 1346-nucleotide ribosomal RNA is filed under the name uncultured bacterium. RNAcentral describes it as "bacterial SSU rRNA". It matches the Rfam family "Bacterial small subunit ribosomal RNA", at positions 28 to 1381 of the family's 1533-position model. The record is from RNAcentral.